RNAcentral lists this ribosomal RNA (487 nucleotides) under uncultured bacterium. RNAcentral's name for it is "partial 16S ribosomal RNA". It matches the Rfam family "Bacterial small subunit ribosomal RNA", at positions 899 to 1397 of the family's 1533-position model. The record is from RNAcentral.
ACUCAAAUGAAUAGACGGGGGCCCGCACAAGCAGCGGAGCGUGUGGUUUAAUUCGAUGCGACACGAAGAACCUUACCUAGGUUUGACAUGUGCGUAGUAGUGAAGCGAAAGCGGAACGACCCUUCGGGGAGCGCACACAGGUGCUGCAUGGCUGUCGUCAGCUCGUGUCGUGAGAUGUUGGGUUAAGUCCCGCAACGAGCGCAACCCUUGUCGCUAGUUACAAGUGUCUAGCGAGACUGCCGGUAUCAAGCUGGAGGAAGGUGGGGAUGACGUCAAGUCAGCAUGGCCUUUAUGUCUAGGGCGACUCACACGCUACAAUGGGCGGUACAACGGGAAGCGAAGGGGAGACCUGGAGCGAAUCCUCGCAAAGCCGUUCGUAGUUCAGAUUGUAGGCUGCAACCCGCCUACAUGAAGCCGGAGUUGCUAGUAACCGCAGGUCAGCUAUACUGCGGUGAAUACGUUCCCGGGCCUUGUACACACCGCCCGU